Molecule: long non-coding RNA, 769 nt
Organism: Octopus bimaculoides (California two-spot octopus)
Lineage: Eukaryota; Metazoa; Mollusca; Cephalopoda; Octopoda; Octopodidae
Source: RefSeq, a predicted model, not a curated record
CUCAUUUUUGUGCUGCAUAUUGUGUGUUUAUCUAUUCUCAUUUUGAUAAUUUUGUACAUUUUACAGUCUUUCAUUUGCUUAACUCCUUUCACUUUGUACCUUGCAGACCACUGGGAGCUUCAGCUCUUAAGAAUCCUUCAGUAUUUCUCAAAAUGCAAAGACUACAAUGAUUCCAGACCCAAAGAUUGAAGGAACCAGCUGUAACACCACUUUGAACACAACCUACUAAGUAUUGCUUGUCAGAACUGAUUAGUUUGCAGAAUGCAGACGAGAUGUUUAGAAGCUCAAUCUAUAUAUAUAAAAAUGAGAAUGUGUGUGUGUGUGUGUGUGUGAAUCCCUAAAACUCGAGAACUACGCAACCAAUUUCAUUCAAAUUUUACAGAUGCCUUACUUAGGGUUCCAGUUGUGUUUUAGUCAAAAAACAUUUUUAACUUCUUGCAGAGUUCAAGCCCACGGCAACAUAAUAUCUCCUCCACUAUUUAAGUAUUACGUGUCAAAAGUGAAACAAAAACACUCAUGUCAAAUACUUUCACUUUAAAAAUGAAACUAUUCCACUAACUGAAACAAUCACAUUUCAAUACUGUAAUGACAGAUACUUUCAGAGAGAGAGAGAAAGAGAGAAAGAGAGAGAGAGAUGUAUAUGUAUACAUAUAGAUGUAUAUGUACACAUUAUUCCACUAACUGAAACAAUCACAUUUCUAUACUGUAAUGACAGAUACUUUCAGAAAGAGAGAGAAAGAGAUGUAUAUGUAUACAUAUACAUGUAUAU